Molecule: RNA transcript, 1557 nt
Organism: Carya illinoinensis
Lineage: Eukaryota; Viridiplantae; Streptophyta; Magnoliopsida; Fagales; Juglandaceae
Exons: 3
Source: RefSeq, a predicted model, not a curated record
AGCCUCUCUCUUUCUCCCUAUAGGGUGGUUUUAAUCAUUCAUAUUGUAAUUAUUGCCCAUUUCUUUAUUAGAUUACUCAGAUUUUUAUGGUAAAGGAUUCCGGCAUAUUGGAAAUGCUGGCCAGAGUGUGUGUGUGUGUGAGUGAGACAGAGAGAGGCAGCAUGCGUUUAAUUGUUAAUUUGCUAGAAAUUUAGUUUCGCAAAUAGUACAGUUGCUGGCUUUAGUGUUUCUGACAAAAGUAUUCCUCUGAACAGGUUAUUUUAAAAGGAAUAUGAGAAUAAAUGUGGUCUAUACCAAACCCUUUUCUAUCCACGUUCUUUCUCCGCAGACCCAUUUCUUUCUUCUGUUGAAUGAUGGCUGUUCUGUUACUGCAUAGCUGGAUCAAUCCAAUACCUAUUGAGUGCCACUGUCGAGGAAUUCUAUAUGGACAAUUAUACAGUCUACACUGAUCUGUAUACCUUGCAUCAGCCUUUGAGAUUAUCCUAGUCUAAACAUUAUGUAGCGGCUCUUUCUUUCUUUGUGGCUACUUUUCUUGUGGUAGAUUAUAUGAGAUUAUGUGAGAUACUGCCACCUUUCCCAUGAUUACAACUGAAUGGUUAUGUUGGAUAUGAAUUGGCCAGGCCCUAAUGCUAUAAACGAGACCUUUAACCCUAACAUUGCUCACGUAACUCGUGUGUACCUUAUAAAAUAUAUUAAAUUCCACUUAGAGAUAAUUAUAACCAUAUUUUUUUGUUAAAAAGAGUAAUAAUGCAUAUAAUAGUGUUUUCCCUAUUUAUUUGCAAGUGUUGUUCAUUAUUGAGCAGGUUUAAAAAUCAUCACAUAAGUUAGUCCCUACCAAGAGCUAGAUGGGUUAAUGUUGGUUGAUGGUUUGGGCGGGAAUUUAUCACCUCAACAAAAUUUAGCACCUAAAGGUGCUUACUUUUAAAACUUAAAAGCACUAAUAGGCCACCCUUGUUUUGGCUCCUUAGACAGCAAGGUCCAUUUUUUUGAUUUCUUUAAGUUUGUUUCUUCAGACAAGGUAUAGUAUUCAUUAAGUUAGGCAUCAGGGUCAUGAACAUCAAAAGGAAAAAAGAGAAGUGCCACUGGGAUUAUCAUAUAACUUUGUCUUUACAUUUUCUAUUGGGUAUAAAGCUAGCUGGGUUGAACUGCAUUCUCUAAAUAAUGCAUUGAGAAGUGUGGAUGUCUUGGUUUUCCAUGGCAUGAUGGCAGGUAAGCUAUAGAGUCGGAAGACUAAAAUAAUGGCCACUCUUUUGUCACAGGACCAAAAUUAGAGGCUUCCUUUCUAUUAACAGGUUAGCUUGAAUUGCAAGGGUUGUGAUAUGUAAAUCCACACGUCAUUGCAACAAAAUAAUACUACCAUCAAGGAUCUUGAUGCAAACUCUUGGGCUAGUGACUAAUUGCAUAUGAGCAAAGAUACUUUUAUCAAAGAAUCAACAGUUGCAGCAAUGAUUGAAUUAGCUUCAGUCCCAACAAUUUAGCUUCUUAGCUGUAUUUCCUGCCCCCUUUGGACCUCUUCAGAAGAGGAGAGAAGAAGAAACAGAUAUUCUAGCACGGUAA